GAGUAAUGUCUGGGAAACUGCCUGAUGGAGGGGGAUAACUACUGGAAACGGUGGCUAAUACCGCAUAACGUCGCAAGACCAAAGAGGGGGACCUUCGGGCCUCUUGCCAUCAGAUGUGCCCAGAUGGGAUUAGCUUGUUGGUGAGGUAACGGCUCACCAAGGCGACGAUCCCUAGCUGGUCUGAGAGGAUGACCAGCCACACUGGAACUGAGACACGGUCCAGACUCCUACGGGAGGCAGCAGUGGGGAAUAUUGCACAAUGGGCGCAAGCCUGAUGCAGCCAUGCCGCGUGUAUGAAGAAGGCCUUCGGGUUGUAAAGUACUUUCAGCGGGGAGGAAGGUGUUGUGGUUAAUAACCGCAGCAAUUGACGUUACCCGCAGAAGAAGCACCGGCUAACUCCGUGCCAGCAGCCGCGGUAAUACGGAGGGUGCAAGCGUUAAUCGGAAUUACUGGGCGUAAAGCGCACGCAGGCGGUCUGUCAAGUCGGAUGUGAAAUCCCCGGGCUCAACCUGGGAACUGCAUUCGAAACUGGCAGGCUUGAGUCUUGUAGAGGGGGGUAGAAUUCCAGGUGUAGCGGUGAAAUGCGUAGAGAUCUGGAGGAAUACCGGUGGCGAAGGCGGCCCCCUGGACAAAGACUGACGCUCAGGUGCGAAAGCGU
Molecule: ribosomal RNA, 658 nt
Filed under: Salmonella enterica
Lineage: Bacteria; Pseudomonadati; Pseudomonadota; Gammaproteobacteria; Enterobacterales; Enterobacteriaceae
Also listed under: 1 other name
Description: bacterial SSU rRNA
Rfam family: Bacterial small subunit ribosomal RNA
Source: RNAcentral